UGGGGAAUUUUGGACAAUGGGCGCAAGCCUGAUCCAGCCAUGCCGCGUGCGGGAAGAAGGCCUUCGGGUUGUAAACCGCUUUUGUCAGGGAAGAAAUCUUCUGAGUUAAUACCUCGGGAGGAUGACGGUACCUGAAGAAUAAGCACCGGCUAACUACGUGCCAGCAGCCGCGGUAAUACGUAGGGUGCAAGCGUUAAUCGGAAUUACUGGGCGUAAAGCGUGCGCAGGCGGUUUUGUAAGACAGAGGUGAAAUCCCCGGGCUCAACCUGGGAACUGCCUUUGUGACUGCAAGGCUUGAGUGCGGCAGAGGGGGGAUGGAAUUCCGCGUGUAGCAGUGAAAAUUGCGUAGAUAUGCGGAGGAACACCGAUGG
Molecule: ribosomal RNA, 371 nt
Filed under: uncultured bacterium
Lineage: Bacteria
Description: partial 16S ribosomal RNA
Rfam family: Bacterial small subunit ribosomal RNA
Source: RNAcentral